AUUGAACGCUGGCGGCAGGCCUAACACAUGCAAGUCGAGCGGUAACAGGGGUAGCUUGCUACCCGCUGACGAGCGGCGGACGGGUGAGUAAUGCAUAGGAAUCUGCCCGAUAGUGGGGGAUAACCUGGGGAAACCCAGGCUAAUACCGCAUACGUCCUACGGGAGAAAGGGGGCUCCGGCUCCCGCUAUCGGAUGAGCCUAUGUCGGAUUAGCUGGUUGGUGAGGUAACGGCUCACCAAGGCGACGAUCCGUAGCUGGUCUGAGAGGAUGAUCAGCCACAUCGGGACUGAGACACGGCCCGAACUCCUACGGGAGGCAGCAGUGGGGAAUAUUGGACAAUGGGGGGAACCCUGAUCCAGCCAUGCCGCGUGUGUGAAGAAGGCCCUCGGGUUGUAAAGCACUUUCAGUGAGGAAGAACGCCUGGUGGUUAAUACCAUCAGGAAAGACAUCACUCACAGAAGAAGCACCGGCUAACUCCGUGCCAGCAGCCGCGGUAAUACGGAGGGUGCGAGCGUUAAUCGGAAUUACUGGGCGUAAAGCGCGCGUAGGUGGCUUGAUAAGCCGGUUGUGAAAGCCCCGGGCUCAACCUGGGAACGGCAUCCGGAACUGUCAAGCUAGAGUGCAGGAGAGGAAGGUAGAAUUCCCGGUGUAGCGGUGAAAUGCGUAGAGAUCGGGAGGAAUACCAGUGGCGAAGGCGGCCUUCUGGACUGACACUGACACUGAGGUGCGAAAGCGUGGGUAGCAAACAGG
Molecule: ribosomal RNA, 750 nt
Filed under: uncultured Halomonas sp.
Lineage: Bacteria; Pseudomonadati; Pseudomonadota; Gammaproteobacteria; Oceanospirillales; Halomonadaceae
Description: bacterial SSU rRNA
Rfam family: Bacterial small subunit ribosomal RNA
Source: RNAcentral